This 103-nucleotide ribosomal RNA is filed under the name Piscirickettsia salmonis. RNAcentral describes it as "partial 16S ribosomal RNA". It matches the Rfam family "Bacterial small subunit ribosomal RNA", at positions 1430 to 1532 of the family's 1533-position model. The record is from RNAcentral. Lineage: Bacteria; Pseudomonadati; Pseudomonadota; Gammaproteobacteria; Thiotrichales; Piscirickettsiaceae.
GCAGGCUAACUUUAGGGAGGCCGGUCACCACGGUGUGGUUCAUGACUGGGGUGAAGUCGUAACAAGGUAGCCGUAGGGGAACCUGCGGCUGGAUUACCUCCCU